RNAcentral lists this ribosomal RNA (466 nucleotides) under uncultured bacterium. RNAcentral describes it as "partial 16S ribosomal RNA". It matches the Rfam family "Bacterial small subunit ribosomal RNA", at positions 28 to 507 of the family's 1533-position model. The record is from RNAcentral.
GACGAACGCUGGCGGCGUGCUUAACACAUGCAAGUCGAACGGUAAGGCUCCAGCUUGCUGGGGUACACGAGUGGCGAACGGGUGAGUAACACGUGGGUGACCUGCCCUGCACUUCGGGAUAAGCCUGGGAAACUGGGUCUAAUACCGGAUAGGACCAUGGUGUGGAUACUGUGGUGGAAAGUUUUUUCGGUGUGGGAUGGGCCCGCGGCCUAUCAGCUUGUUGGUGGGGUAAUGGCCUACCAAGGCGGCGACGGGUAGCCGGCCUGAGAGGGUGGACGGCCACAUUGGGACUGAGAGACGGCGCAGACUCCUACGGGAGGCAGCAGUGGGGAAUAUUGCACAAUGGGCGGAAGCCUGAUGCAGCGACGCCGCGUGGGGGAUGACGGCCUUCGGGUUGUAAACUCCUUUCACCAUCGACGAAGGGUUUCUGACGGUAGAUGGAGAAGAAGCACCGGCUAACUACGUG